UCCUUCUUGCUAUGCAUUUGAUAGGACUCAUCAUCAUCACCAUCUUCGGAGCUGCUAGAAAGCUCACUAGAAGAUGUGUUGGGAGCUUUGGCUUCUUCUUUGUCCUUCCUAGCUUGCCUUCUCUUUCUUCUUUCUUCUCUCUCGAGCCUUCUAGCUUCUUUUCUUGCCUUCUUCUCAUCUAAUCGUUGUCGAUCUUUCUUCUUUUCUCUUGCUUCUCUUUUGAGCUUUCUUGCUUCUUUCGUCUUUCUCUUCUCUUCUUCAUUGAGAGCCCUUUCACCAUUGGUAGGCUCGAGAUGAGGAAGUGUGGUAUUGCUUG
RNAcentral lists this long non-coding RNA (316 nucleotides) under Sorghum bicolor (sorghum). RNAcentral's name for it is "long non-coding RNA (SBIC_LNC002384)". Lineage: Eukaryota; Viridiplantae; Streptophyta; Magnoliopsida; Poales; Poaceae. The record is from RNAcentral.